This 392-nucleotide ribosomal RNA is filed under the name uncultured bacterium. Its description in RNAcentral is "bacterial SSU rRNA". It matches the Rfam family "Bacterial small subunit ribosomal RNA", at positions 29 to 422 of the family's 1533-position model. The record is from RNAcentral.
AUUGAACGCUGGCGGCAUGCUUUACACAUGCAAGUCGAGCGGCAGCGCGGGGCAACCCUGGCGGCGAGCGGCGAACGGGUGAGUAAUAGAUAGGAACGUAUCCGGGAGUGGGGGAUAACUAGCCGAAAGGUUAGCUAAUACCGCAUAUUCUCUUAGGAGGAAAGCGGGGGACCAGUAAUGGCCUCGCGCUCGCGGAGUGGCCUAUCUCCGAUUAGCUAGUUGGUGAGGUAAAGGCUCACCAAGGCGACGAUCGGUAGCUGGUCUGAGAGGAUGAUCAGCCACACUGGGACUGAGACACGGCCCAGACUCCUACGGGAGGCAGCAGUGGGAAUUUUGGACAAUGGGGGCAACCCUGAUCCAGCCAUGCCGCGUGCGGGAAGAAGGCCUGGUGU